CAGCCGUAAACUAAUGCGCGUUAGGUGUAUCGGUGACCACGAGUUACCGAGGUGCCGAAGGGUAACCGUGAAACGUGCCGCCUGGGAAGUACGGUCGCAAGGCUGAAACUUAAAGGAAUUGGCGGGGGGAGCACCACAACAGGUGGAGCCUGCGGUUUAAUUGGACUCAACGCCGGGAAGCUCACCGGAUAAGACAGCGGAAUGAUUGCCGGGCUGAAGACUCUGCAUGACUAGCUGAGAGGAGGUGCAUGGCGUAGACGUCU
This 263-nucleotide ribosomal RNA is filed under the name uncultured archaeon. RNAcentral's name for it is "partial 16S ribosomal RNA". It matches the Rfam family "Archaeal small subunit ribosomal RNA", at positions 748 to 1009 of the family's 1478-position model. The record is from RNAcentral.